UACGUAGGGGGCAAGCGUUAUCCGGAUUUACUGGGUGUAAAGGGAGCGUAGACGGCGUGCCAAGUCUGAUGUGAAAGGCCGGGGCUCAACCCCGGGACUGCAUUGAAAACUGGCAUGCUGGAGUGCCGGAGGGGCAAGCGGAAUUCCUGGUGUAGCGGUGAAAUGCUUAGAUAUCAGGAGGAACAUCGGUGGCGUAAGCGCUUUACUGGGCCGUAAUUGACGCUGAGGAACGAAAGCCAGGGUAGCAAAUGGG
This 253-nucleotide ribosomal RNA is filed under the name uncultured Eubacteriales bacterium. RNAcentral's name for it is "uncultured Clostridiales bacterium partial 16S ribosomal RNA". It matches the Rfam family "Bacterial small subunit ribosomal RNA", at positions 524 to 776 of the family's 1533-position model. Lineage: Bacteria; Bacillati; Bacillota; Clostridia; Eubacteriales. The record is from RNAcentral.